Long non-coding RNA from Sycon ciliatum, 490 nucleotides. RefSeq lists it as uncharacterized. NCBI's taxonomy places the organism in Eukaryota, Metazoa, Porifera, Calcarea, Leucosolenida, Sycettidae. The transcript has 3 exons. The record is from RefSeq and is a predicted model, not a curated record.
UGCUCACUGCACUAGCGCGGCGCUUUCGGAAAGUCGGAAAAAUCGCUUCCCGAUCCGAGAAAACGCGACUGUCGGCGAUCGCGAGGCCACUGUCUCUGUCCUUGGAUCAUGGUUGGAGUACAGACUCACUCAGCUGUGUUCAUAAUGUCAUAUACUGUGCCAGUCCAGUAUACACUCAUAUCUGUGUUAUCCGGACCUCGAAGUCAUGGACACCUCAGCCCACGGACACCCUGUUGCACAUUACUCGGCAAUCUUCACUCGGCUGAAUUCUCAACGGAAUAUACUUCACGCUAGCAGCGGUAGCCACAGUACUAUUCCCAUGCACACAUUGAAUUCAGUUAUCAAGCGUCUGGACAAGGUCAUACACUACCUGAGAUCAUAAGUCCAGUAUCAUCCCAAUUGCCUAGGAAAUAUAUCAUCUCCAAAUGUAACCAAGAAUAGUUCAUGCACGUACUUCAAAAGAAGUAUAAUAUCAACACAAAAUCUCACA